GACGAACGCUGGCGGCGUGCCUAACACAUGCAAGUCGAACGGGAUUUAGUAAACAGAAAGCUCGGUGGAAGAUUACUAAUGAGAGUGGCGAACGGGUGAGUAACGCGUGCGCAACCUGCCUAUGACAGUGGGGUAGCCUUGUGCAACCGGGAUUAAUACCGCAUAAAAUUGUAGAAACACAUGUUUUAACGGUCAAAGAUUUAUCGGCCAUAGAUGGGCUCGCGUCUGAUCAGCUAGUUGGUGAGAUAACAGCCCACCAAGGCGACGAUCAGUAGCCGGUCUGAGAGGAUGAACGGCCACAUUGGAACUGAGACACGGUCCAGACUCCUACGGGAGGCAGCAGUGGGGAAUAUUGCACAAUGGGGGAAACCCUGAUGCAGCGACGCCGCGUGAGCGAAGAAGGUAUUAGUAUCGUAAAGUUCUGUCCUAUGGGAAGAUAAUGACAGUACCAUAGGAAUAAGCUCCGGCUAACUACGUG
RNAcentral lists this ribosomal RNA (478 nucleotides) under uncultured bacterium. RNAcentral describes it as "partial 16S ribosomal RNA". It matches the Rfam family "Bacterial small subunit ribosomal RNA", at positions 28 to 507 of the family's 1533-position model. The record is from RNAcentral.